AUCUAAAAAGAGAAAUGUGAAAAAAUGUGAAAAAUUAAAAUACAAUUUUUACGCCGUUAAUCUUAGAAUCAACAAAUGCCUAAAGACAAAAUUAUUAAAAUUUAAUAUGUUUUACAUCAGAAACUCACUUCACCACUAACAAAUAGUAUUAUACAUACAAUAACACAUUAUUAAAAAGAUAAACACAUAAUAUAUUAACUUAUUACCUACUACUAUAUAACCUAAUAAAACAUCAAAUAAAUACUAACCACAUC
RNAcentral lists this long non-coding RNA (254 nucleotides) under Brassica napus (rape). RNAcentral's name for it is "long non-coding RNA (BNAP_LNC004163)". Lineage: Eukaryota; Viridiplantae; Streptophyta; Magnoliopsida; Brassicales; Brassicaceae. The record is from RNAcentral.